This 406-nucleotide ribosomal RNA is filed under the name uncultured bacterium. RNAcentral's name for it is "partial 16S ribosomal RNA". It matches the Rfam family "Bacterial small subunit ribosomal RNA", at positions 30 to 526 of the family's 1533-position model. The record is from RNAcentral.
AUUGAACGCUGGCGGCAGGCCUAACACAUGCAAGUCGAACGAGUGGCGGACGGGUGAGUAAUGUCUGGGUAACUGCCCGAUGGAGGGGGAUAACUCCUGGAAACGGUAGCUUAUACCGCAUACCAUCGGAUGUGCCCAGAGGGGAUUAGCUAGUGGGUGGGGUAACGGAUCACCCAGGCGACGAUCCCUAGCUGGUCUGAGAGGAUGACCCGCCACACUGGAACUGAGACACGGUCCAGACUCCUACGGGAGUCAGCAGUGGGGAAUAUUGCACAAUGGGCGCAAGCCUGAUGCAGCCAUGCCGCGUGUAUGAAGAAGGCCUUCGGGUUGUAAAGUACUUUCAGCGGGGAGGCGUUACUCGCAGAAGAAGCACCGGCUAACUCCGUGCCAGCCGCCGCGGUAAUAC